RNAcentral lists this ribosomal RNA (439 nucleotides) under uncultured bacterium. RNAcentral's name for it is "bacterial SSU rRNA". It matches the Rfam family "Bacterial small subunit ribosomal RNA", at positions 340 to 773 of the family's 1533-position model. The record is from RNAcentral.
UACGGGAGGCAGCAGUGGGGAAUAUUGCACAAUGGGCGCAAGUCUGAUGCAGCCAUGCCGCGUGUAUGAAGAAGGCCUUCGGGUUGUAAAGUACUUUCAGUCGUGAGGAAGGUGUUAAGGUUAAUAACCUUAGCAAUUGACGUUAGCGACAGAAGAAGCACCGGCUAACUCCGUGCCAGCAGCCGCGGUAAUACGGAGGGUGCGAGCGUUAAUCGGAAUUACUGGGCGUAAAGGGCACGCAGGCGGUUAAUUAAGUUGGAUGUGAAAUCCCCGGGCUUAACCUGGGAAUGGCAUUCAAGCUGGUUAGCUAGAGUCUUGUAGAGGGGGUAGAAUUCCAUGUGUAGCGGUGAAAUGCGUAGAGAUGUGGAGGAAUACCGGUGGCGAAGGCGGCCCCUGGACAAAGGACUGACGCUCAUGUGCGAAAGCGUGGGGAGCAAAC